CAGCAGCCACGGGAAUACGUAGGGUGCGAGCGUUAAUCGGAAUUACUGGGCGUAAAGCGUGCGCAGGCGGUUAUAUAAGACAGAUGUGAAAUCCCCGGGCUCAACCUGGGACCUGCAUUUGUGACUGUAUAGCUAGAGUACGGUAGAGGGGGAUGGAAUUCCGCGUGUAGCAGUGAAAUGCGUAGAUAUGCGGAGGAACACCGAUGGCGAAGGCAAUCCCCUGGACCUGUACUGACGCUCAUGCACGAGAGCGUGGGGAGCAAACAGGAUUAGAUACCCCGGUAGUCCCUGUCUCUUAUAC
RNAcentral lists this ribosomal RNA (301 nucleotides) under uncultured bacterium. RNAcentral describes it as "partial 16S ribosomal RNA". It matches the Rfam family "Bacterial small subunit ribosomal RNA", at positions 509 to 807 of the family's 1533-position model. The record is from RNAcentral.